Molecule: ribosomal RNA, 406 nt
Filed under: uncultured bacterium
Lineage: Bacteria
Description: partial 16S ribosomal RNA
Rfam family: Bacterial small subunit ribosomal RNA
Source: RNAcentral
AUUGAACGCUGGCGGCAGGCUUAACACAUGCAAGUCGAGCGAGAGGCGGACGGGUGAGUGAUGACUGGGAAACUGCCUGAUGGAGGGGGAUAACUAAUGGAAACGGUUGCUAAUACCGCAUACCAUAAGAUGUGCCCAGCUUGGAUUAGCUAGUUGGUGCGGUAAUGGCGCACCUAGGCGCCGAGCCCUAGCUGGUCUGUGAGGAUGCACAGCCACACGGGAACUGAUACCCGGUCCAGACUCCUACGGGAGGCAGCAGUGGGGAAUAUUGCACAAUGGGCGCAAGCCUGAUUCAGCCAUGCCGCGUGUGUGAAGAAGGCCUUCGGUUUUUAAAGCACUUUCAGCUAGGAGGCGUUACCCGCAGAAUAAGCACCGGCUAACUCCGUGCCAGCAGCCGCGGUAAUAC